AGCUUUAGAGGCGUGAGGGACUGAUAAGGGCUGACAAUGUUUUGGUACAAGUGGGGGGGUUCGUGUUUAAGGUCAAGGUAUUAAUUCAGGGAAACGCAAGGGUUUUUUGGAGCGUUGCAAUGUGCAACCCUUGGGUUUGACUGGGGUGGAUAGCAGCAAUUUAGCCUCAGAUGACGGCUUGUCAGGCUCGCUGGAGAUGUGAAAUAGGCGGAGAAAGUAGACCAGAGUCAGCUGUAGCCUUUUACGUUGUGGACACCUUUGGUGUGAACUGUCAAGGUCGUCAAGCUUGCAGGCAGCCCGUGGACAGACGGAGGGAUGAAUGGACAGAGUAAAGGAUGGCUGGGAUGCUUUGCUGUGAUGGAGAGUGACCAGCAGAGUGUGUAGUGACUACUCUGUUGACCGAUCCAACAACUCGGAUCAAUGCUGGAAACCGACACAAAGCGUCUGCCUGUCCAGAUUAAAACACGUGGCCAAAUAAACCCACCCUAAACACAUCUAUCCAUCAGUCCAUCUCUCCAUCCAUCACUCCAUCCAUCACUCCAUCCGUCCAUCCAGAGC
Long non-coding RNA from Myripristis murdjan (pinecone soldierfish), 558 nucleotides. RefSeq lists it as uncharacterized. NCBI's taxonomy places the organism in Eukaryota, Metazoa, Chordata, Actinopteri, Holocentriformes, Holocentridae. The record is from RefSeq and is a predicted model, not a curated record. The transcript has 4 exons.